RNAcentral lists this ribosomal RNA (433 nucleotides) under uncultured bacterium. RNAcentral's name for it is "partial 16S ribosomal RNA". It matches the Rfam family "Bacterial small subunit ribosomal RNA", at positions 29 to 507 of the family's 1533-position model. The record is from RNAcentral.
AACGAACGCUGGCGGCAUGCCUAACACAUGCAAGUCGAACGAGACCUUCGGGUCUAGUGGCGCACGGGGGCGUAACGCGUGGGAACCUGCCCUUAAGUUCGGAAUAACUCCCCGAAAGGGGUGCUAAUACCGGAUAAUGUCUUCGGACCAAAGAUUUAUCGCCUUUGGAUGGGCCCGAGUUGGUUUAGGUAGUUGGUAGGGUAAAAGCCUACCAAGGCGACGAUCCAUAGCUGGUCUGAGAGGAGGAUCAGCCACACUGGGACUGAGACACGGCCCCGACUCCUACGGGAGGCAGGAGUGGGGAAUAUUGGACAGGGGGCGAGAGCCUGAUCCAGCGCUGCCGCGUGAGUGAUGAAGGCCUUGGGGUUGUAAAUCACUUUUAACCGGGAUGAUAAUGACAGUACCGGGAGAAGAAGCUCCGGCUAACUCCGUG